GACGAACGCUGGCGGCGUGCCUAAUACAUGCAAGUCGAGCGGACUGAUUAAGAGCUUGCUCUUAUGACGUUAGCGGCGGACGGGUGAGUAACACGUGGGCAACCUGCCCUGUAGAUCGGGAUAACACCGAGAAAUCGGUGCUAAUACCGGGUAAUAUCUGAGAUCACAUGAUCUUAGGUUAAAAGAUGGCUCCGGCUAUCACUACAGGAUGGGCCCGCGGCGCAUUAGCUAGUUGGUAAGGUAAUGGCUUACCAAGGCGACGAUGCGUAGCCGACCUGAGAGGGUGAUCGGCCACACUGGGACUGAGACACGGCCCAGACUCCUACGGGAGGCAGCAGUAGGGAAUCUUCCGGAAUGGACGAAAGUCUGACGGAGCAACGCCGCGUGAGUGAUGAAGGGUUUCGGCUCGUAAAGCUCUGUUGUUAGGGAAGAAACAGUACCGAACGAACUAGGUCGGUACCUUGACGGUACCUAACCAGAAAGCCACGGCUAACUACGUG
Molecule: ribosomal RNA, 500 nt
Filed under: uncultured bacterium
Lineage: Bacteria
Description: partial 16S ribosomal RNA
Rfam family: Bacterial small subunit ribosomal RNA
Source: RNAcentral